UGGGGAAUAUUGCACAAUGGAGGGAACUCUGAUGCAGCGACGCCGCGUGAGUGAUGAAGGAAUUCGUUUCGUAAAACUCUGUUCUAUGGGAAGAAAAGGACUGUACCAUAGGAGAAAGCUCCGGCUAAAUACGUGCCAGCGGCCGCGGUAAUACGUAUGGAGCGAGCGUUGUCCGGAAUUAUUGGGCGUAAAGGGUGCGCAGGCGGCUUUACAAGUUGGAUGUGAAAUAUUGUGGCUCAACCACAAACGUGCAUCCAAAACUGCAAAGCUUGAGUUAAGGAGAGGUAAGUGGAAUUCCUGGUGUAGCGGUGGAAUGCGUAGAUAUCAGGAGGAAUACCGGUGGCGAAGGCGACUUACUGGACUUAAACUGACGCUCAGGCACGAAAGCGUGGGGAGCAAACAGG
This 404-nucleotide ribosomal RNA is filed under the name Fusobacteriota bacterium. Its description in RNAcentral is "Fusobacteria bacterium partial 16S ribosomal RNA". It matches the Rfam family "Bacterial small subunit ribosomal RNA", at positions 355 to 776 of the family's 1533-position model. Lineage: Bacteria; Fusobacteriati; Fusobacteriota. The record is from RNAcentral.